GCUGCCAUGCUCAGAUCAAAAUCACAAACAAAUAAAACGAUGGGCAGCAACAUCAUAAACAAAUUUUCUGAGCUAGAUUUGAUGAUAAACACAUUCAGGAUGCUACAAUGCACAGUUGGAAUGAUAACCAGGUCUGGUAUAUGAAAGCAAAUGGAAGAAUUAACCUAGCUACAAAAUCAUAACUAGCCUCACCCCCCCACACUGAGAGUCACUCUAUCAACUUUAAACAUAAACCUAACCACAUAAAGUUACAACAGCCAUUAAUCUAGCAAAGAUGAGACUUGUUGCAUGCAGUCGAUGGGCCAGCCAAACUACUCUUGAGGAGGUCCUUGAGGAAAUGGUCCACGGCCACGACCCCCACCGCGUCCACGGCCACGUCCACGUCCUCGACCACGGCCCCUUCCUCCAUCACCUUCUGCACAGGAGAUUCAUAAGAUAACAUUGCUUAGUGGUAAUAUUCAGAGAGAAGUUGGGCAACUGGGAAAGAAUUAUUCAAAGGAAAGCCAAUUUAUAAUAUCAUCACUACUUUCUACCUUAGUCAAAGCACAAUAUUAGCAUCACAUUGAGAUUUUAAAUACUAUCUGUGGUUCUGCACAUCUCUAAUUAAGUGGUCUAGCAUUAAGUCACUAUAUUUUUUACUAGUGAUGUAUCCAUAAUAACCUCAAAAAAUUCAGAUCCAAACUCGAAAAACACAUUGAGCAACAAAAAAGACAAAUACAGCAUGAAUAGUGCAAAAACGAUACUAUUCACAUCAAGAUAAAAACUGGGGGCUGUUAGUAGAAAAUUUGAACAGAACUAACCAUAUCCUUGCACAGGAGGUCCAUUAUGCUCCAUGCCAUGAUACCCACCAGCUUCUUCAUUUACAUAGCCAUAGCCAUCACCACCAUAACCCCUUCCAGGCCCAAAGGAUCCACGCCUACCCCUUCCUCUCCCUCUGCCACG
This 942-nucleotide long non-coding RNA is filed under the name Triticum aestivum (bread wheat). Its description in RNAcentral is "long non-coding RNA (TAES_LNC022630)". The record is from RNAcentral. Lineage: Eukaryota; Viridiplantae; Streptophyta; Magnoliopsida; Poales; Poaceae.